UCUACGGGUGGCAGCAGUGGGGAAUAUUGGACAAUGGGCGAAAGCCUGAUCCAGCCAUGCCGCGUGUGUGAAGAAGGCCUUCGGGUUGUAAAGCACUUUCAGUGGGGAAGAAAGCCUUGGGGCUAAUACCCUCGAGGAAGGACAUCACCCACAGAAGAAGCACCGGCUAACUCCGUGCCAGCAGCCGCGGUAAUACGGAGGGUGCGAGCGUUAAUCGGAAUUACUGGGCGUAAAGCGCGCGUAGGCGGUCUGAUAAGCCGGUUGUGAAAGCCCCGGGCUCAACCUGGGAACGGCAUCCGGAACUGUCAGGCUAGAGUGCAGGAGAGGAAGGUAGAAUUCCCGGUGUAGCGGUGAAAUGCGUAGAGAUCGGGAGGAAUACCAGUGGCGAAGGCGGCCUUCUGGAAUGACACUGACGCUGAGGUGCGAAAGCGUGGGUAGCAAACAGGAUUAGAUACCCUAGUAGUC
Molecule: ribosomal RNA, 465 nt
Filed under: Vreelandella stevensii
Lineage: Bacteria; Pseudomonadati; Pseudomonadota; Gammaproteobacteria; Oceanospirillales; Halomonadaceae
Description: partial 16S ribosomal RNA
Rfam family: Bacterial small subunit ribosomal RNA
Source: RNAcentral